UUCGCCCUUAGAGUUUGAUCCUGGCUCAGGACGAACGCUGGCGGCGCGCCUAACACAUGCAAGUCGAACGGAGCUUAGAGAGCUUGCUUUUCUUGACUUAGUGGCGAACGGGUGAGUAACGCGUGAGUAACCUGCCCUGGAGUGGGGGACAACAGUUGGAAACGACUGCUAAUACCGCAUAAGCCCACGGAUCCGCAUGGAUCUGCGGGAAAAGGAUUUAUUCGCUUCAGGAUGGACUCGCGUCCAAUUAGCUAGUUGGUGAGGUAACGGCCCACCAAGGCGACGAUUGGUAGCCGGACUGAGAGGUUGAACGGCCACAUUGGGACUGAGACACGGCCCAGACUCCUACGGGAGGCAGCAGUGGGGGAUAUUGCACAUUGGGGGAAACCCUGAUGCAGCGACGCCGCGUGGAGGAAGAAGGUUUUCGGAUUGUAAACUCCUGUCGUUAGGGACGAUAAUGACGGUACCUAACAAGAAAGCACCGGCUAACUACGUGCCAGCAGCCGCGGUAAAACGUAGGGUGCAAGCGUUGUCCGGAAUUACUGGGUGUAAAGGGAGCGCAGGCGGACCGGCAAGUUGGAAGUGAAAACUAUGGGCUCAACCCAUAAAUUGCUUUCAAAACUGCUGGCCUUGAGUAGUGCAGAGGUAGGUGGAAUUCCCGGUGUAGCGGUGGAAUGCGUAGAUAUCGGGAGGAACACCAGUGGCGAAGGCGACCUACUGGGCACCAACUGACGCUGAGGCUCGAAAGCAUGGGUAGCAAACAGGAUUAGAUACCCUGGUAGUCCACGCUGUAAACGAUGAAUACUAGGUGUGCGGGGACUGACCCCCUGCGUGCCGCAGUUAACACAAUAAGUAUUCCACCUGGGGAGUACGAUCGCAAGGUUGAAACUCAAAGGAAUUGACGGGGGCCCGCACAAGCGGUGGAUUAUGUGGUUUAAUUCGACGCAACGCGAAGAACCUUACCAGGGCUUGACAUCCUACUAACGAAGUAGAGAUACAUCAGGUGCCCUUCGGGGAAAGUAGAGACAGGUGGUGCAUGGUUGUCGUCAGCUCGUGUCGUGAGAUGUUGGGUUAAGUCCCGCAACGAGCGCAACCCCUAUUGUUAGUUGCUACGCAAGAGCACUCUAGCGAGACUGCCGUUGACAAAACGGAGGAAGGUGGGGACGACGUCAAAUCAUCAUGCCCCUUAUGUCCUGGGCUACACACGUAAUACAAUGGCGGUCAACAGAGGGAUGCAAAACCGUAAGGUGGAGCGAACCCCUAAAAGCCGUCUCAGUUCAGAUUGUGGGCUGCAACCCGCCCACAUGAAGUCGGAAUCGCUAGUAAUCGCGGAUCAGCAUGCCGCGGUGAAUACGUUCCCGGGCCUUGUACUCACCGCCCGUCA
This 1384-nucleotide ribosomal RNA is filed under the name uncultured bacterium. Its description in RNAcentral is "16S ribosomal RNA". It matches the Rfam family "Bacterial small subunit ribosomal RNA". The record is from RNAcentral.